UACGUAGGGUGCGAGCGUUGUCCGGAAUUAUUGGGCGUAAAGAGCUUGUAGGCGGUUUGUCGCGUCUGCUGUGAAAUCUCAAGGCUCAACCUUGAGCUUGCAGUGGGUACGGGCAGACUAGAGUGUGGUAGGGGAGACUGGAAUUCCUGGUGUAGCGGUGAAAUGCGCAGAUAUCAGGAGGAACACCCGUGGCGAAAGCGGCUCUCUGGAACGGUACUGACGCUGAGACGCGCAAGCGUGGGGAGCGAACAGG
RNAcentral lists this ribosomal RNA (253 nucleotides) under uncultured bacterium. Its description in RNAcentral is "partial 16S ribosomal RNA". It matches the Rfam family "Bacterial small subunit ribosomal RNA", at positions 524 to 776 of the family's 1533-position model. The record is from RNAcentral.